CCUACGGGAGGCAGCAGUGAGGAAUAUUGGUCAAUGGGCUUACGCCUGAACCAGCCAAGUCGCGUGAGGGAAGACUGCCCCAUGGGUUGUAAACCUCUUUUGUCAGGGAGCAACGCCGGCUACGUGUAGCCGGACUGAGAGUACCUGAAGAAAAAGCAUCGGCUAACCCCGUGCCAGCAGCCGCGGUAAUACGGAGGAUGCGAGCGUUAUCCGGAUUUAUUGGGUUUAAAGGGUGCGUAGGCGGAAUGCCAAGUCAGCGGUAAAAGCGCGGGGCUCAACCUCGCUCCGCCGUUGAAACUGGCGUUCUUGAGUGGGCGAGAAGUAUGCGGAAUGCGUGGUGUAGCGGUGAAAUGCAUAGAUAUCGCGCAGAACUCCGAUUGCGAAGGCAGCAUACCGGCGCCCAACUGACGCUGAAGCACGAAAGCGUGGGUAUCGAACAGGAUUAGAUACCCUAGUAGUC
Molecule: ribosomal RNA, 460 nt
Filed under: uncultured bacterium
Lineage: Bacteria
Description: partial 16S ribosomal RNA
Rfam family: Bacterial small subunit ribosomal RNA
Source: RNAcentral